Molecule: ribosomal RNA, 497 nt
Filed under: uncultured bacterium
Lineage: Bacteria
Description: partial 16S ribosomal RNA
Rfam family: Bacterial small subunit ribosomal RNA
Source: RNAcentral
AGUGAACGCUGGCGGCAUGCCUAACACAUGCAAGUCGAACGGAAGCACAAUAAGCGUUUGCCCCUACGGUUGGCGAGUGGCGGAUGGGUGACACAUGCAUCAGAUUCCUCUAUGACUGGGGUGACUACGGGGGACAGGAUAUACUACCACCUCAUAUAUUCUACGGGAUGGAUCAAUGGUUAAACGCGGUUUUGGUGACUCUAAUAGCUGAAUCCGGGCCGCAUUAGCUAGUUGGUAAGGUAACGGCCUACCAAGGCAACGAUGCGUAGCCGAUCUGAGAGGGUGAUCAGCCACACUGGAACUGAGACACGGUCCAGACUCCUACGGGAGGCAGCAGUAGGGAAUCUUCGGCAAUGGGCGAAAGCCUGACGCAGCAAUGCCGCGUGAGUGAUGAAGGUCUUCGGAUUGUAAAGCUCUGUUGUUAGGAAAGAACAAAUGCGGAAUUAACCAUGCACGUUUUGACGGUACCUAAAGAGUAAGCACCGGCUAACUACGUG